Long non-coding RNA from Mus musculus (house mouse), 229 nucleotides. RefSeq annotates it as predicted gene, 39780. Lineage: Eukaryota; Metazoa; Chordata; Mammalia; Rodentia; Muridae. The transcript is spliced from 2 exons. The record is from RefSeq and is a predicted model, not a curated record.
AGAUUUGUUGGGGCUGGUGACAUAGCUCAGCAGUCAGUGCCUUUAACCUCUGAGCCGUCUCUCCAGCCCUUCCAAGCAUUUUUCAUAAAUUAGUUAGACGGUGGAUUCGUGUGGUAAGAAAGUCAGCGGGAGGCUGGACAUACUACUCAGUGGUAGAAUGCUGGCAUACUCAAGGCUCUCAGUUCAAACUCUAGCACCACACACACACACACACACACACACACACACA